RNAcentral lists this ribosomal RNA (253 nucleotides) under uncultured bacterium. Its description in RNAcentral is "partial 16S ribosomal RNA". It matches the Rfam family "Bacterial small subunit ribosomal RNA", at positions 524 to 776 of the family's 1533-position model. The record is from RNAcentral.
UACGUAGGUGGCGAGCGUUGUCCGGAUUUACUGGGCGUAAAGAGCGCGCAGGCGGCUGGUCAAGUCCGAUGUGAAAGCUCCCGGCUUAACUGGGAAAUUGCAUCGGAAACUGAUCGGCUGGAAGGUGGGAGAGGGUAGCGGAAUUCCCGGUGUAGUGGUGAAAUGCGUAGAUAUCUGGAGGAACACCGGUGGCGAAGGCGGCAUUCUGGACCGACAUUGACGCUGAGGAGCGAAAGCCAGGGGAGCAAACGGG